CGCUGGCGGCAGGCUUAACACAUGCAAGUCGAACGGUAACAUAAAGAAGCUUGCUUCUUUGAUGACGAGUGGCGGACGGGUGAGUAAUGCUUGGGAAUCURGCUUAUGGAGGGGGAUAACUACGGGAAACUGUAGCUAAUACCGCGUAAUAUCGAGAGAUUAAAGUGUGGGACCUUCGGGCCACAUGCCAUAAGAUGAGCCCAAGUGGGAUUAGGUAGUUGGUGAGGUAAAGGCUCACCAAGCCGACGAUCUCUAGCUGGUCUGAGAGGAUGACCAGCCACACUGGGACUGAGACACGGCCCAGACUCCUACGGGAGGCAGCAGUGGGGAAUAUUGCGCAAUGGGGGCAACCCUGACGCAGCCAUGCCGCGUGAAUGAAGAAGGCCUUCGGGUUGUAAAGUUCUUUCGGUAGCGAGGAAGGCAUUUAGUUUAAUAGACUAGAUGAUUGACGUUA
RNAcentral lists this ribosomal RNA (454 nucleotides) under Parahaemophilus parainfluenzae. Its description in RNAcentral is "Haemophilus parainfluenzae bacterial SSU rRNA". It matches the Rfam family "Bacterial small subunit ribosomal RNA", at positions 34 to 477 of the family's 1533-position model. The record is from RNAcentral. Lineage: Bacteria; Pseudomonadati; Pseudomonadota; Gammaproteobacteria; Pasteurellales; Pasteurellaceae.